RNAcentral lists this ribosomal RNA (440 nucleotides) under uncultured bacterium. Its description in RNAcentral is "partial 16S ribosomal RNA". It matches the Rfam family "Bacterial small subunit ribosomal RNA", at positions 338 to 795 of the family's 1533-position model. The record is from RNAcentral.
CCUACGUGUGGCUGCAGUGGGGAAUAUUGCACAAUGGGGGCAACCCUGAUGCAGCAAAGCCGCGUGAGUGAAGAAGUAUUUCGGUAUGUAAAGCUUCAUCAGCAGAGAAGUAGAUGACGGUACCUGAUUAUGUAGCCACGGCUAACUACGUGACAGAUGCCCCGGUAAUACGUAGGAGGCAAGCGUUAUCCGGAUUUACUGGGUGUAAAGGGAGCGCAGACGGGUGUGCAAGUCUGUAGUGAAAGCCCGGGGCCCAACCCCGGAACUGCUCUGGAUACUGUGCGGCUAGAGUACAGGAGGGGCAGGCGGAAUUCGUAGUGUAGCGGUGAAAUGCGUAGAUAUUAGGAGGAACACCAGUGGCGAAGGCAGCCUGCUAAACAGUAACUGACGUUGAGGCUCGAAAGCGUGGGGAGCAAACAGGAUUAGAUACCCUGGUAGUC